Lagenorhynchus albirostris (white-beaked dolphin) is the source of this 327-nucleotide long non-coding RNA. RefSeq lists it as uncharacterized. NCBI's taxonomy places the organism in Eukaryota, Metazoa, Chordata, Mammalia, Artiodactyla, Delphinidae. The record is from RefSeq and is a predicted model, not a curated record. The transcript is spliced from 3 exons.
CCGCAGUCCGCCGCCCGGGCGCGGAAAGCUGCUUCCUACUCCUGCUGCCGAGCCGGCCGGGCUACUGAGCAUGCCCGGCACGGCGACAGCUGCCAAACUAAAGGACUUUAAGCUGCGAUGGUAAACUACCCAAGGACAGCAGAGAAGAGGGAAUACAUGCUCCCAGACAGGAUGGGCAAGGAGCCCUAAGCAUUUUGUUCCAGUUAAUGUAAACAGUCAUUACAAACAAACAAACAAACAAACCCCCUUCCUUCAAAUACCAGGGCCUCUCUUGGAAGCUAACACACAAAAGGAGCCACUGGUCCCCUGCAAGGACACUUUGUCCAC